RNAcentral lists this ribosomal RNA (1205 nucleotides) under metagenome. Its description in RNAcentral is "bacterial SSU rRNA". It matches the Rfam family "Bacterial small subunit ribosomal RNA", at positions 8 to 1235 of the family's 1533-position model. The record is from RNAcentral.
AGAGUUUGAUCCUGGCUCAGGACGAACGCUGGCGGCGCGCCUAACACAUGCAAGUCGAACGAGCGAGAGAGAGCUUGCUUUCUCAAGCGAGUGGCGAACGGGUGAGUAACGCGUGAGGAACCUGCCUCAAAGAGGGGGACAACAGUUGGAAACGACUGCUAAUACCGCAUAAGCCCACGGCUCGGCAUCGAGCAGAGGGAAAAGGAGCAAUCCGCUUUGAGAUGGCCUCGCGUCCGAUUAGCUAGUUGGUGAGGUAACGGCCCACCAAGGCGACGAUCGGUAGCCGGACUGAGAGGUUGAACGGCCACAUUGGGACUGAGACACGGCCCAGACUCCUACGGGAGGCAGCAGUGGGGAAUAUUGCACAAUGGGGGAAACCCUGAUGCAGCGACGCCGCGUGGAGGAAGAAGGUCUUCGGAUUGUAAACUCCUGUUGUUGAGGAAGAUAAUGACGGUACUCAACAAGGAAGUGACGGCUAACUACGUGCCAGCAGCCGCGGUAAAACGUAGGUCACAAGCGUUGUCCGGAAUUACUGGGUGUAAAGGGAGCGCAGGCGGGAAGACAAGUUGGAAGUGAAAUCCAUGGGCUCAACCCAUGAACUGCUUUCAAAACUGUUUUUCUUGAGUAGUGCAGAGGUAGGCGGAAUUCCCGGUGUAGCGGUGGAAUGCGUAGAUAUCGGGAGGAACACCAGUGGCGAAGGCGGCCUACUGGGCACCAACUGACGCUGAGGCUCGAAAGUGUGGGUAGCAAACAGGAUUAGAUACCCUGGUAGUCCACACUGUAAACGAUGAUUACUAGGUGUUGGAGGAUUGACCCCUUCAGUGCCGCAGUUAACACAAUAAGUAAUCCACCUGGGGAGUACGACCGCAAGGUUGAAACUCAAAGGAAUUGACGGGGGCCCGCACAAGCAGUGGAGUAUGUGGUUUAAUUCGACGCAACGCGAAGAACCUUACCAAGUCUUGACAUCCUGCGACGCACAUAGAAAUAUGUGUUUCCUUCGGGACGCAGAGACAGGUGGUGCAUGGUUGUCGUCAGCUCGUGUCGUGAGAUGUUGGGUUAAGUCCCGCAACGAGCGCAACCCUUAUGGUCAGUUACUACGCAAGAGGACUCUGGCCAGACUGCCGUUGACAAAACGGAGGAAGGUGGGGAUGACGUCAAAUCAUCAUGCCCUUUAUGACUUGGGCUACACACGUACUACAAUGGCG